Molecule: ribosomal RNA, 405 nt
Filed under: Lactiplantibacillus plantarum
Lineage: Bacteria; Bacillati; Bacillota; Bacilli; Lactobacillales; Lactobacillaceae
Description: bacterial SSU rRNA
Rfam family: Bacterial small subunit ribosomal RNA
Source: RNAcentral
GACGAUGCAAUCUAAGAGAUUAGACGUUCCCUUCGGGGACAUGGAUACAGGUGGUGCAUGGUUGUCGUCAGCUCGUGUCGUGAGAUGUUGGGUUAAGUCCCGCAACGAGCGCAACCCUUAUUAUCAGUUGCCAGCAUUAAGUUGGGCACUCUGGUGAGACUGCCGGUGACAAACCGGAGGAAGGUGGGGAUGACGUCAAAUCAUCAUGCCCCUUAUGACCUGGGCUACACACGUGCUACAAUGGAUGGUACAACGAGUUGCGAACUCGCGAGAGUAAGCUAAUCUCUUAAAGCCAUUCUCAGUUCGGAUUGUAGGCUGCAACUCGCCUACAUGAAGUCGGAAUCGCUAGUAAUCGCGGAUCAGCAUGCCGCGGUGAAUACGUUCCCGGGUCUUGGAACACACCGA